GGCAGGGGUGUAUUAAACGGGGAAGGGGGGAAAACGCGACGCGCAACGCCGCUGGAGAAGGCCUUCAUCUUGUAAAGUACUUUCCUGUCGGAGGAAGGCAUUAAGGUUUGAUUAAGAGUUGAUUGAGUUACAUGUACCAAGAAGAACAAGCUAACUCUAAGUCCGUGCCCGGGGCCGCGCGGAGGGUGAAGGGGUCAAUCUUAUUUACUGUUACUGGAGGGCACGGGCGCGGUUUGUUCUUACUGAUGUAAAAUCCCAGGGCCACGGCUGAGAACUGCAUUCGCUUCUGAUACUGUUGAGUCUUGUAAAGGGAGAGGGAAUUGGAAGUGUAGGGGUAAAAUGGAUAUGCAUCUAGAGGAAUACGAACACCGGUGGCGGCCCCCUGUUCCUGGACUGACGCUCACGUUCAAAAGCGAAGGGAGCAAACGCGAUUAGAAUCACAUACCCUCCACGCCCACGCCCAUGACGACUUGUAGGUUGUGCUCCCUGAGGUGGACCCCUGGGAGCUCAGACGUAACGUCUAACGCCUGGGGACUACGGACGCGAGGUUAAAACUCAAAAGACAUUGACAG
RNAcentral lists this ribosomal RNA (572 nucleotides) under uncultured bacterium. Its description in RNAcentral is "partial 16S ribosomal RNA". It matches the Rfam family "Bacterial small subunit ribosomal RNA", at positions 347 to 916 of the family's 1533-position model. The record is from RNAcentral.